This 253-nucleotide ribosomal RNA is filed under the name uncultured bacterium. Its description in RNAcentral is "partial 16S ribosomal RNA". It matches the Rfam family "Bacterial small subunit ribosomal RNA", at positions 524 to 776 of the family's 1533-position model. The record is from RNAcentral.
UACAGAGGUCCCGAGCGUUGUUCGGAUUCACUGGGCGUAAAGGGUGCAUAGGUGGUGAGGUAAGUCGGAUGUGAAAUCUCCAAGCUCAACUUGGAAAUGGCAUUGGAAACUACCUUGCUGGAGGUUUGGAGGGGGGACUGGAAUUCUCGGUGUAGCAGUGAAAUGCGUAGAUAUCGAGAGGAACACCAGUGGCGAAGGCGAGUCCCUGGACAAAACCUGACACUGAGGCACGAAAGCUAGGGGAGCAAACAGG